ACCAUGCCCCAUGUGCAAUAGUCGACAGGGUUGCAGUCUGGGCUGGACAGAGGCCACAAGUCAGGUGGUAGGCUCAUAUCAUAUUCUGAGUCUCAGCCAGAAAGCCAAUCACCCUGCUCCACCUGAAAAGGUAUUACAGGGAUCAUGCGACUGUGUUGAGAAUGAUCUCGGCCUAAUCAUUGCCUGCUACUCGGGUGUGGCUUCGCCUGCCACCUCUCGAUCCACAAAGCAAAUGAAAUACGAAUAUGGUGGGCUUUGCUCAGGUUUGCCAGGUCUAGGGACAUGAUCACUGCAUCCACAUCCUGU
Molecule: long non-coding RNA, 306 nt
Filed under: Androctonus crassicauda
Lineage: Eukaryota; Metazoa; Arthropoda; Arachnida; Scorpiones; Buthidae
Source: RNAcentral